Molecule: long non-coding RNA, 1284 nt
Filed under: Phoenix dactylifera (date palm)
Lineage: Eukaryota; Viridiplantae; Streptophyta; Magnoliopsida; Arecales; Arecaceae
Description: long non-coding RNA (PDAC_LNC005320)
Source: RNAcentral
GUGCUUGAACAGAUGUUUUCACUUGGGAAGGGAGAUGCAGGUUCGAUGUAAAUAGCUGAACCUUUUGAAGCAUAAUUUAGAACAAAAAAUUGAUUGAACUGAUUCAAAGAGAGUAGAAUCCUCUGAACAUCAAGACUUGCUGUAUACCUACUAGAAUGGCAGUGAUCACGGCAGACAACGUUGAAGCCAUACAUGUCAAGCAUUGAAAGUUUAGCAUGUAAAUAAUCAACUAAUUAGCUAGAAUAUAUUAUCAGAUUUAGAGCUAUAUCCUUGCAUAAUCUGUAUACUAAAGUGUUUAUACUACCAUAAGUUGGGUCUGAACUUAAAAAGAAGGGAAGAUGUUUAUAAUCAACUAAGACUACAGGCAUAUAGUAUGCAAACACGGUAGAUCAUACAUCAUAAAUCAGAUAUUGGCAGCCGCUCCUCGGUAUAAGAGACUCGUGCAACACACUGUAUUCAAGCCUGCUCAAUACUCUGUCUCUUAUGUGAAAAUGCAACUAAAUAUGUGAUUUUUGUGCAUUCGAUGACUGUUUGCCUGCGAAUGCAGCACAUAAUGUAUAUGAGGAUUUGAUGACACGUUUUCAAUUAACAAAUCAUUCUCGAACCUAUGCUUGCAAUAAUCACCUAGCUUACAUACUUCAGAAACUAAUGCUGUUCCAACUAUUGCUCUCAUCCACUUUCAAUCUCACAGUCUGGAAUAUUUGCUACCCCUUCCAUGAAUGCGUAUGUUGGCAGUACAUAAAAAUACAUAUAUGAUAUAUGUAUGUAUGUAUAUGAAGUCCAUGAGAAGACGAAUGGCAAGCACGAAUAAGUUCCAUCAUAGAUGCAAAGACCAAAAUUCUACAUUGGAUCGGAGGCAGUUGGGCUGAAGAUAAACAUUAUGUAGGCAUUGAAAGGUUCGUGAAUGCCCUGAGAGACAUGAAUGGAUGAAAAAACAAUGACAUUUUGGAAGGGUUAAAUAUAGAAAAGAAAGCAUAGUAGGCACACCUGUCCAAACUGGCUUCUAAGUAUGCAUCUUCAACAAGUUUUAGCAAAAAGUGAGGAGCCCAUGUUCUUGUGGAUGUUCAUCCAUGGAUUGUCACUCCAGAAGUUUGGUGCAAUCAAGUGGGAGAGGCAGAAAAGAAAGAGGCAUUGAGGGAUUUCUCUUCUAUCAUGCUACUGAUAAUCUAGUGGGGCAAGGGGGUUUGACAAAAGCAAGGACUUAGAGAGCAUUGGUCAAAAAUUAGCCUUGGAUUGGUUGAUUAGUUGCAAGUUGACUCUAGUUCAACAAAAUACCACUACUCA